UGCAAGUCGUACGCGAAGACCCCGCAAGGGGUUGGUAGCGUGGCAAACGGGUGAGUAACGCGUGGGCGACCUGCCUUCGAGUGGGGGAUAACCUUCCGAAAGGAGGGCUAAUACCGCAUGACAUGCUCUGUUUAGAUACAGGGACAUCAAAGCCGGGGAUCGCAAGACCUGGCGCUUGAAGAGGGGCCUACGUCCGAUUAGCUAGUUGGUGAGGUAACGGCUCACCAAGGCUUCGAUCGGUAUCCGGCCUGAGAGGGCGGACGGACACACUGGGACUGAGACACGGCCCAGACUCCUACGGGAGGCAGCAGUAGGGAAUUGUUCGCAAUGGGCGCAAGCCUGACGACGCAACGCCGCGUGGAGGAUGAAGACCUUCGGGUCGUAAACUCCUUUCGACCAAGAUGAACACCUCUCGAUCUAAUACGUCGAGAGGCUGACAGUAUUGAGGGAAGAAGCCCCGGCUAACUCCGUGCCAGCAGCCGCGGUAAUACGGGGGGGGCAAGCGUUGUUCGGAAUUACUGGGCGUAAAGGGUUCGUAGGUGGCCAACUAAGUCAGACGUGAAAUCCCUCAGCUUAACUGGGGAACUGCGUCUGAUACUGGUCGGCUUGAGUGCAGGAGAGGAACGCGGAAUUCCAGGUGUAGCGGUGAAAUGCGUAGAUAUCUGGAGGAACACCGGUGGCGAAGCGGCGUUCUGGACUGCAACUGACACUGAGGAACGAAAGCCAGGGGAGCAAACGGGAUUAGAUACCCCGGUAGUCCUGGCCCUAACGAUGAAUGCUUGGUGUGGCGGGUAUCGAUCCCUGCGUGCCGUAUUAACGCGAUAAGCAUUCCGCCGGGGAUACGGCGCAAGG
This 852-nucleotide ribosomal RNA is filed under the name uncultured bacterium. Its description in RNAcentral is "bacterial SSU rRNA". It matches the Rfam family "Bacterial small subunit ribosomal RNA", at positions 56 to 873 of the family's 1533-position model. The record is from RNAcentral.